This 358-nucleotide ribosomal RNA is filed under the name Ancyromonas sigmoides. RNAcentral's name for it is "eukaryotic LSU rRNA". It matches the Rfam family "Eukaryotic large subunit ribosomal RNA", at positions 1 to 353 of the family's 3401-position model. The record is from RNAcentral. Lineage: Eukaryota; Ancyromonadida; Ancyromonadidae.
AUGACCUCAGAUCAAGCGAGAUUACCCGCUGAAUUUAAGCAUAUUAAUAAGCGGAGGAAAAGAAACUAACUAGGAUUCCCUCAGUAAUGGCGAAUGAAGCGGGAAGAGCUCAAAUUUGAAAUCUCGGGGGAGGACCCUCGCGAAUUGUAGUUUCUAGAGGCAGCAUCGGACGGCGGCGCGGCCCAAGUCUCUUGGAAAGGAGCGUCAGGGAGGGUGACAACCCCGUGCCGGCUGCGCGGCGGCCGUCUGUACGAUGCGUCUUCAAAGAGUCGGGUUGCUUGGGAGUGCAGCUCUAAUUGGGUGGUAAAUUUCAUCUAAAGCUAAAUACGGACGAGAGACCGAUAGCGAACAAGUACUG